GAUGAACGCUGGCGGCGUGCCUAAUACAUGCAAGUCGAGCGAACGGACGAGAAGCUUGCUUCUCUGAUGUUAGCGGCGGACGGGUGAGUAACACGUGGAUAACCUACCUAUAAGACUGGGAUAACUUCGGGAAACCGGAGCUAAUACCGGAUAAUAUUUUGAACCGCUUGGUUCAAAAGUGAAAGACGGCCUUGCUGUCACUUAUAGAUGGAUCCGCGCUGCAUUAGCUAGUUGGUAAGGUAACGGCUUACCAAGGCAACGAUGCAUAGCCGACCGGAGAUGGUGAUCGGCCACAUUGGAACUGAUACACGGUCCAGACUCCUAUGGGAGGCUGCAGUAGGGAAUCUUCCGCAAUGGGCGAAAGCCCGACGGAGCACCGCCGCGUGAGUGAUGAAGGGCUUCGGAUCGUAAAACUCUGUUAUUAGGGAAGAACAUAUGUGUAAGUAACUGUGCACAUCCUGACGGUACCUAAUCAGAAAGCCACGGCUAACUACGUG
RNAcentral lists this ribosomal RNA (497 nucleotides) under uncultured bacterium. Its description in RNAcentral is "partial 16S ribosomal RNA". It matches the Rfam family "Bacterial small subunit ribosomal RNA", at positions 28 to 507 of the family's 1533-position model. The record is from RNAcentral.